RNAcentral lists this ribosomal RNA (2049 nucleotides) under Triticum aestivum (bread wheat). RNAcentral describes it as "partial small subunit ribosomal RNA". Lineage: Eukaryota; Viridiplantae; Streptophyta; Magnoliopsida; Poales; Poaceae. The record is from RNAcentral.
AUGGUCGCUUCGCCCCGGGACCUCUGGAACCAUUGGUCCAUCCAGAUCCUGGUGCUCUUCAGCCUCGGGUGGCAGAUCGCCCUCUUCCUCUUUGCCGGGAUCCGCAGGCGUGGAGGCCACCCUGUGCAGCGGUUCCUGCUCUGGGUGGCCUAUCAGCUGUCGGACUACACCGCCACAUACGCCCUCGGCCACCUCUCCCUUACGGGCGCGCUGCGCGAGCACGCCAUCGUCGCGUUCUGGGCGCCGUUCCUCCUGCUGCACCUCGGAGGCCCGGACAACAUCACCGCCUACUCUCUGGAGGACAACAAGCUCUGGAAGCGCCACUUGCUGAGUGCCAUCCUUCAGGUGUCCGGAGCCGUAUAUGUCCUCUACGAGCAUAUCGCGGAGGAAGGGCUCCGGCUUGCCUCCGUCUUGAUGUUCGCCGUCGGUGCUGUCAAGUACGCGGAGAGGACGGUGGCGCUCAUGCGCGGCAACCUGGACAGCAUCCGGGGCUCCGUCAAGAAGCAACCAGCUGCCAUGCAUGGACAUUUCCACCCUCAAGAUACAGUAGAGAAGUAUGGCGAGUUCGAUGAGGAAUCCCUUGUGCGACGAGCUCACUCGCUGUUCUACAUAUGCAAGCGUGCCAUAGUUGAUUAUCCUGUGAUGAGAGAUGAUGAACAUGGCCAAGACAGCACCGAGAUGAUACUCGAGGUCAGCUUAUGGCAAUUGAUGGAGACCGAGCUCUCCCUCAUGUAUGACAUGCUAUACACCAAGGCGGCUGUCAUCCACACCUGCUUCGGCUACUUGGUACGCCUCAUCUCGCCAUUCGCCAUUGUCGCCUCACUGCUACUCUUCAUCUUCAUUGACAAGGAGACGCACCGUAGAGUUGAUGUUAAUAUCACCUACAUAUUGUAUGGUGGUGCCUUGUUCAUGGAGAUGACAUCGCUGCUGAACGCCCUAGGCUCCUCCUGGACAUUUGCCUUCCUGAGCACCACAAGAUGGGACUGGCUUCGAUACGCAGCACUGUGCAAUAAAAGAUGGGACCGGCUUAGGCGUGUGGUUGCAUAUCUUCACCAUCUUGUCAGGGUAGGAGGAGGUAGCCGGUACAGAUCAAGGAGGUGGUCACAUACCAUGGGUCAGUACAACAUGCUGCACUAUUGCACCGGUUCUAACAGUGCACGCACUAGGCCUCUGCUUGGCAGUUUGGCCAAGAUAGCGGGAUCAGGACUAAAUGAGCUAUGGAACAGAGAGCAUUACUCAUGGGAAGCUGACAUGCCGGGCCAUCUCAAGGAUCGUAUCUUUGAAUAUAUGCAACAUAUACACGAUGAGGAUUUUGUGAACUCACUGGGCAUGCUCAAGAAUAAGUGGGGUGAGGAAACACUGCAUAGCAGGGGGUUGUUCAACUCUCGUCUCACAAAUUCCCUCGGCGUUGAGUUCCAGGAGUGCAUAAUCAUCUGGCACAUCGCCACCGAAGUUUUCCUCGCCAAGAGCGAGCAAGCCAAAGAAAAGAAGACACGGGAUGAUGUGAAGGCGGUCAAGGUGAUAUCCAACUACAUGAUGUUCCUUCUCGUGGAGCAGCCGGACAUGCUGCCAGGCCUCCCCCAAAACAGGUUGUACCAACUAACCUGUGAAAGUCUGGUCAAGACUUGGGGAUCAACUGAUAGGCGUCAAGACAUGAACCUGUGUGCUUCGCUCAAGAAUCUGUUCCGUCUGCAUGAUGACCCCAAGUCUGAUUUAAGGGUCAGUGACAGAGAGGAGCUUGCAAAAGAAAUAUACAAGUAUGAGGGUAAAGGCUUCACCUACGAGGCUCCUCGUCUCUCCUAUGUAACUGACCUUGCAAAGGAACUGCUAGCAAUGGAAAAAGAUGACAAGGUUAAAUCCGUACCGGAACUUGUCCUUAAGGUGUGGACGGAUAUUCUUGUCUACGCUGGUAACAAGUGCAGCAGGAGGUUCCAUGCCGAGAAGCUCAACAGUGGCGGUGAGUUGACAACCAUCCUGUGGCUUAUGGCAGAACACUUCUACCAAGUUUAUGCGACGGAACUGAUCAAAAGUAACAAAAUGGAAAAAUGA